CAGCACCUCAAGUGGUCAGGAGGAUUAUUGGGCCUAAAGCAUCCGUAGCCGGCUCUGUAAGUUUUCGGUUAAAUCCAUGUGCUCAACGCAUGGGCUGCUGAAAAUACUGCAUAGCUAGGGAGUGGGAGAGGUAGACGGUACUCGGUAGGAAGGGGUAAAAUCCUUUGAUCUAUCGAUGACCACCUGUUGCGAAGGCGGUCUACCAGAACACGUUCGACGGUGUAGGAUGAAAGCUGGGAGCAAACCGGAUUAGAUACCCGGGUAGUCCAGCUGUAAACGA
This 280-nucleotide ribosomal RNA is filed under the name uncultured marine archaeon. Its description in RNAcentral is "partial 16S ribosomal RNA". It matches the Rfam family "Archaeal small subunit ribosomal RNA", at positions 477 to 760 of the family's 1478-position model. The record is from RNAcentral.